GCCCUGAUAGUUAAAUGGAUAUAACAAGGCUCUCCUAAAGCUUAGUUCCGAGUUCGAUUCUCGGUCGGGGUACAA
RNAcentral lists this transfer RNA (75 nucleotides) under Prevotella sp. lc2012. RNAcentral describes it as "tRNA_Arg_CCT". It matches the Rfam family "tRNA". From Rfam's summary of the family: Transfer RNA (tRNA) molecules are approximately 80 nucleotides in length. Their secondary structure includes four short double-helical elements and three loops (D, anti-codon, and T loops). Lineage: Bacteria; Pseudomonadati; Bacteroidota; Bacteroidia; Bacteroidales; Prevotellaceae. The record is from RNAcentral.